This 1352-nucleotide ribosomal RNA is filed under the name Trypetimorpha occidentalis. Its description in RNAcentral is "SSU rRNA". It matches the Rfam family "Eukaryotic small subunit ribosomal RNA", at positions 508 to 1775 of the family's 1831-position model. Lineage: Eukaryota; Metazoa; Arthropoda; Insecta; Hemiptera; Tropiduchidae. The record is from RNAcentral.
AUCGGAAUGAGUAUACUCUAAAUCCUUAUACGAGUAUCAAUUGGAGGGCAAGUCUGGUGCCAGCAGCCGCGGUAAUUCCAGCUCCAAUAGCGUAUAUUAAAGUUGUUGCGGUUAAAAAGCUCGUAGUUGGAUCUGUGUCCCGCGCCGUCGGUUCACCGCCUGUCGGUGUUUAACUGGCGUGUAUGCGGGACGUCCUGCCGGUGGCGGUCCGGUGCCCCGUUGGUUCGUAAGGGAGACCUUGUGUCGCCCCGAAGGCCAACGUGGUGUCACUGGUCGCCUUUCGAUCCCGUCGCGGUGCUCUUUACCGAGUGUCGAGGCGGGCCGGCACGUUUACUUUGAACAAAUUAGAGUGCUUUAAGCAGGCCCUGUCCCGCCUGUAUGUUGUGUGCAUGGAAUAAUGGAAUAGGACCUCGGUUCUAUUUUGUUGGUUUUCGGAAUCUGAGGUAAUGAUCAAUGGGGACAGGCGGGGGCAUUCGUAUUGCGACGUUAGAGGUGAAAUUCUUGGAUCGUCGCAAGACGGACCGAAGCGAAAGCAUUUGCCAAGUAUGUUCUCGUCGAUCAAGAACGAAAGUUAGAGGUUCGAAGGCGAUCAGAUACCGCCCUAGUUCUAACCAUAAACUAUGCCUGCCAGCGAUCCGCCGAAGUUCCUCCGAUGACUCGGCGGGCAGCUUCCGGGAAACCAGAGCUUUUGGGUUCCGGGGGAAGUAUGGUUGCAAAGCUGAAACUUAAAGGAAUUGACGGAAGGGCACCACCAGGAGUGGAGCCUGCGGCUUAAUUUGACUCAACACGGGAAAACUCACCAGGCCCGGACACCGGAAGGAUUGACAGAUUGAGAGCUCUUUCUUGAUUCGGUGGGUGGUGGUGCAUGGCCGUUCUUAGUUGGUGGAGCGAUUUGUCUGGUUAAUUCCGAUAACGAACGAGACUCUAGCCUACUAAAUAGGCGUACCCGGUAUCCACAAUCGUGCUACCGGCGAUUAAAUUUCUUCUUAGAGGGACAGGCGGCUUCUAGCCGCACGAGACUGAGCAAUAACAGGUCUGUGAUGCCCUUAGAUGUCCUGGGCCGCACGCGCGCUACACUGAAGGAAUCAGCGUGUCUUCCCUGUCCGAAAGGACCGGGUAACCCGCUGAACCUCCUUUGUGCUAGGGAUUGGGGCUUGCAAUUGUUCCCCAUGAACGAGGAAUUCCCAGUAAGCGCGAGUCAUAAGCUCGCGUUGAUUACGUCCCUGCCCUUUGUACACACCGCCCGUCGCUACUACCGAUUGAAUGAUUUAGUGAGGUCUUCGGACUGGUGCGCGGAGGCCGCACCCGCGGUCUCCGAUGUUGCCGGAAAGAUGACCAAACUUGAUCAUUUA